Molecule: ribosomal RNA, 390 nt
Filed under: Triticum aestivum (bread wheat)
Lineage: Eukaryota; Viridiplantae; Streptophyta; Magnoliopsida; Poales; Poaceae
Description: partial small subunit ribosomal RNA
Source: RNAcentral
AUGGCGCACCCGGCCGCGGACCGCCGCCUCCGCUCCCCGCAGCCGUCGGCGCGCUGCGACCACGAGCACCACAACCGCUUCCUCCGCCCCGGCGCGCUCGCCAGGCUCCGCGACUCCAAGAUCGUCGCGCGCUCCCUCCGCUCCGCCGCCUCCGCGCGCCUCCUCUCGCCCUCCUCGCCCGCCCCCUUGUCACCCACGCACGCCGCGGAGACCGGCGUGCCGCACUUCGUCGGGGGCGCGCGCGGCGGCAUGCGGUACCCGCUCCGGAAGAAGCUCGCCGCCGCCAGGGGCGUCGUGUUCCUGCCCCCGCCGCCCAUGUCGCCGGGCGCCAUGGAGGCCUUCCUCGGCGCCUUCGCCGCCGCGCCGUCCGAGCUCCUCGCCGCGCACUGA